Molecule: transfer RNA, 76 nt
Filed under: Paracoccaceae bacterium
Lineage: Bacteria; Pseudomonadati; Pseudomonadota; Alphaproteobacteria; Rhodobacterales; Paracoccaceae
Description: tRNA-Lys
Rfam family: tRNA
About the family: Transfer RNA (tRNA) molecules are approximately 80 nucleotides in length.
Source: RNAcentral
GGGCCCGUAGCUCAGUUGGUAGAGCAGCUGACUCUUAAUCAGUAGGUCACAGGUUCGAAUCCUGUCGGGCCUGCCA